CCUACGGGUGGCAGCAGUGGGGAAUAUUGGGCAAUGGGCGCAAGCCUGACCCAGCGACGCCGCGUGAAUGAAGAAGUAUUUCGGUUUGUAAACUUCUUUUCUCAGGGACGAAGCAAGUGACGGUACCUGACUAAUAAGCCACGGCUAACUACGUGCCAGCAGCCGCGGUAAUACGUAGGUGGCAAGCGUUAUCCGGAUUUACUGGGUGUAAAGGGCGUGUAGGCGGGAAAGCAAGUCAGAUGUGAAAACCAGGGGCUCAACCUGUGGCCUGCAUUUGAAACUGUUUUGCUGGAGUGCUGGAGAGGUAGAUGGAAUUCCUAGUGUAGCGGUGAAAUGCGUAGAUAUUAGGAGGAACACCAGUGGCGAAGGCGGUCUGCUGGACAGUAACUGACGUUGAGGCGCGAAAGCGUGGGGAGCAAACAGGAUUAGAUACCCUUGUAGUC
This 443-nucleotide ribosomal RNA is filed under the name uncultured bacterium. RNAcentral's name for it is "partial 16S ribosomal RNA". It matches the Rfam family "Bacterial small subunit ribosomal RNA", at positions 338 to 795 of the family's 1533-position model. The record is from RNAcentral.